Molecule: ribosomal RNA, 706 nt
Filed under: Vibrio sp. 3-2(1)
Lineage: Bacteria; Pseudomonadati; Pseudomonadota; Gammaproteobacteria; Vibrionales; Vibrionaceae
Description: partial 23S ribosomal RNA
Rfam family: Bacterial large subunit ribosomal RNA
Source: RNAcentral
UGCGGACAGUGCCUGGUGGGUAGUUUGACUGGGGCGGUCUCCUCCCAAAGAGUAACGGAGGAGCACGAAGGUGGGCUAAUCACGGUUGGACAUCGUGAGGUUAGUGCAAUGGCAUAAGCCCGCUUAACUGCGAGAAUGACGGUUCGAGCAGGUACGAAAGUAGGUCAUAGUGAUCCGGUGGUUCUGAAUGGAAGGGCCAUCGCUCAACGGAUAAAAGGUACUCCGGGGAUAACAGGCUGAUACCGCCCAAGAGUUCAUAUCGACGGCGGUGUUUGGCACCUCGAUGUCGGCUCAUCACAUCCUGGGGCUGAAGUCGGUCCCAAGGGUAUGGCUGUUCGCCAUUUAAAGUGGUACGCGAGCUGGGUUUAGAACGUCGUGAGACAGUUCGGUCCCUAUCUGCCGUGGGCGUUGGAAGAUUGAAGGGGGCUGCUCCUAGUACGAGAGGACCGGAGUGGACGAACCGCUGGUGUUCGGGUUGUCAUGCCAAUGGCAUUGCCCGGUAGCUAAGUUCGGAAUUGAUAAGCGCUGAAAGCAUCUAAGCGCGAAGCGAGCCCUGAGAUGAGUCUUCCCUGGCACUUUAAGUGUCCUAAAGGGUUGUUCGAGACUAGAACGUUGAUAGGUUGGGUGUGUAAGCGCUGCGAGGCGUUGAGCUAACCAAUACUAAUUGCCCGUGAGGCUUAACCAUACAACACCGAAGGGGUUUUGU